AGUCGACGCUUCUUUUUCCACCGGAGCUUGCUCCACCGGAAAAAGAGGAGUGGCGAACGGGUGAGUAACACGUGGGUAACCUGCCCAUCAGAAGGGGAUAACACUUGGAAACAGGUGCUAAUACCGUAUAACAAUCGAAACCGCAUGGUUUUGAUUUGAAAGGCGCUUUCGGGUGUCGUUGAUGGAUGGACCCGCGGUGCAUUAGCUAGUUGGUGAGGUAACGGCUCACCAAGGCCACGAUGCAUAGCCGACCUGAGAGGGUGAUCGGCCACAUUGGGACUGAGACACGGCCCAAACUCCUACGGGAGGCAGCAGUAGGGAAUCUUCGGCAAUGGACGAAAGUCUGACCGAGCAACGCCGCGUGAGUGAAGAAGGUUUUCGGAUCGUAAAACUCUGUUGUUAGAGAAGAACAAGGAUGAGAGUAACUGUUCAUCCCUUGACGGUAUCUAACCAGAAAGCCACGGCUAACUACGUGCCAGCAGCCGCGGUAAUACGUAGGUGGCAAGCGUUGUCCGGAUUUAUUGGGCGUAAAGCGAGC
RNAcentral lists this ribosomal RNA (538 nucleotides) under uncultured bacterium. RNAcentral's name for it is "bacterial SSU rRNA". It matches the Rfam family "Bacterial small subunit ribosomal RNA", at positions 60 to 570 of the family's 1533-position model. The record is from RNAcentral.